GACUAUGGCCAUGCCACCCUGAACACACCCAAUCCCGUCUGAUCUCGGAAACUAAGCAGGGUCAGGCCUGGUUAGUACUUGAGUGAGAGACCACCUAGGAAGACUGGGUGCUGUAGGCA
Molecule: ribosomal RNA, 119 nt
Filed under: Pteropus alecto (black flying fox)
Lineage: Eukaryota; Metazoa; Chordata; Mammalia; Chiroptera; Pteropodidae
Source: RNAcentral